Molecule: ribosomal RNA, 253 nt
Filed under: uncultured bacterium
Lineage: Bacteria
Description: partial 16S ribosomal RNA
Rfam family: Bacterial small subunit ribosomal RNA
Source: RNAcentral
GACGUAGGGCGCGAGCGUUGUCCGGAUUUAUUGGGCGUAAAGAGCUCGUAGGCGGCUUGUCGCGUCGUUCGUGAAAACCCGGGGCUCAACUCCGGGCUUGCGGGCGAUACGGGCAGGCUAGAGUUCGGUAGGGGAGACUGGAAUUCCUGGUGUAGCGGUGGAAUGCGCAGAUAUCAGGAGGAACACCUAAGGCGAAGGCAGCUCGCUGGAACGGUACUGACGCUGAGACGCGAAAGCGUGGGGAGCGAACAGG